CAUUGCGACUUACCAACCCAUGGCAAACUAAGAAUACCAUCAAGUGGUUCCUCGGGAGACAGACAUCGGGUGCUAACGUCCGGUGUCAAGAGGGAAACAACCCAGACCGCCAGCUAAGGUCCCAAAUGACAGAUUAAGUGGUAAACGAAGUGGGAAGGCCCAGACAGCCAGGAUGUUGGCUUAGAAGCAGCCAUCAUUUAAAGAAAGCGUAAUAGCUCACUGGUCGAGUCGUCCUGCGCGGAAGAUGUAACGGGGCUCAAAUCUGUAACCGAAGCUGCGGAUGUACUUUUAGUGCAUGGGAGGGGAGCGUUCUGUAUGCCUGCGAAGGUGUCUCGUAAGGGAUGCUGGAGGUAUCAGAAGUGCGAAUGUUGACAUGAGUAGCGAUAAAGCGGGUGAAAAGCCCGCUCGCCGAAAGCCCAAGGUUUCCUACGCAACGUUCAUCGGCGUAGGGUGAGUCGGCCCCUAAGGCGAGGCAGAAAUGCGUAGUCGAUGGGAAACGGGUUAAUAUUCCCGUACUUUGAUUCAAUGCGAUGUGGGGACGGAGAAGGUUAGGUUAGCAAACUGUUGGAAUAGUUUGUUUAAGCCGGUAGGUGGAAGACUUAGGCAAAUCCGGGUCUUCAUAACACCGAGAAGUGACGACGAGUGUCUACGGACACGAAGUAACCGAUACCACGCUUCCAGGAAAAGCCACUAAGCUUCAGUUGGAUCAGAACCGUACCGCAAACCGACACAGGUGGGCAGGAUGAGAAUUCUAAGGCGCUUGAGAGAACUCGGGAGAAGGAACUCGGCAAAUUGAUACCGUAACUUCGGGAGAAGGUAUGCCCUCUAAUGUGAAAGACUUGCUCUGUAGGCAUAGGAGGGUCGCAGAGAAUCGGUGGCUGCGACUGUUUAUUAAAAACACAGCACUCUGCAAACACGAAAGUGGACGUAUAGGGUGUGACGCCUGCCCGGUGCUGGAAGGUUAAUUGAAGAUGUGAGAGCAUCGGAUCGAAGCCCCAGUAAACGGCGGCCGUAACUAUAACGGUCCUAAGGUAGCGAAAUUCCUUGUCGGGUAAGUUCCGACCCGCACGAAUGGCGUAACGAUGGCCACACUGUCUCCUCCCGAGACUCAGCGAAGUUGAAGUGGUUGUGAAGAUGCAAUCUACCCGCUGCUAGACGGAAAGACCCCGUGAACCUUUACUGUAGCUUUGCAUUGGACUUUGAAGUCACUUGUGUAGGAUAGGUGGGAGGCUUAGAAGCAGAGACGCCAGUCUCUGUGGAGCCGUCCUUGAAAUACCACCCUGGUGUCUUUGAGGUUCUAACCCAGACCCGUGAUCCGGGUCGGGGACCGUGCAUGGUAGGCAGUUUGACUGGGGCGGUCUCCUCCCAAAGAGUAACGGAGGAGUUCGAAGGUUACCUAGGUCCGGUCGGAAAUCGGACUGAUAGUGCAAUGGCAAAAGGUAGCUUAACUGCGAGACCGACAAGUCGAGCAGGUGCGAAAGCAGGACAUAGUGAUCCGGUGGUUCUGUAUGGAAGGGCCAUCGCUCAACGGAUAAAAGGUACUCCGGGGAUAACAGGCUGAUUCCGCCCAAGAGUCCAUAUCGACGGCGGAGUUUGGCACCUCGAUGUCGGCUCAUCACAUCCUGGGGCUGUAGUCGGUCCCAAGGGUAUGGCUGUUCGCCAUUUAAAGUGGUACGUGAGCUGGGUUUAAAACGUCGUGAGACAGUUUGGUCCCUAUCUGCAGUGGGCGUUGGAAGUUUGACGGGGGCUGCUCCUAGUACGAGAGGACCGGAGUGGACGAACCUCUGGUGUACCGGUUGUCACGCCAGUGGCAUCGCCGGGUAGCUAAGUUCGGAAGAGAUAAGCGCUGAAAGAAUCUAAGCGCGAAACUCGCCUGAAGAUGAGACUUCCCUUGCGGUUUAACCGCACUAAAGAGUCGUUCGAGACCAGGACGUUGAUAGGUGGGGUGUGGAAGCGCGGUAACGCGUGCAGCUAACCCAUACUAAUUGCUCGUGAGGCUUGACUCU
Molecule: non-coding RNA, 2006 nt
Filed under: Neisseria sp. oral taxon 020 str. F0370
Lineage: Bacteria; Pseudomonadati; Pseudomonadota; Betaproteobacteria; Neisseriales; Neisseriaceae
Description: Bacterial large subunit ribosomal RNA
Rfam family: Bacterial large subunit ribosomal RNA
Source: Rfam by way of RNAcentral